GCCCGGUAAGCUCAGUCGGAACAGCAUUCGCCCUGUAAGCGAUGUGUCCCGGGUUCGAGUCCCGGACUGGCUG
RNAcentral lists this transfer RNA (73 nucleotides) under Dreissena polymorpha. It matches the Rfam family "tRNA". From Rfam's summary of the family: Transfer RNA (tRNA) molecules are approximately 80 nucleotides in length. Their secondary structure includes four short double-helical elements and three loops (D, anti-codon, and T loops). Lineage: Eukaryota; Metazoa; Mollusca; Bivalvia; Myida; Dreissenidae. The record is from Rfam by way of RNAcentral.